AUUGGUACUGUCUUCAUGAGCACCUCGGUGUAUAUGGAUUUAUUCCAAUAAGCCCUAAAAAAAAAGCCGAGACUUCUCUUUUAUCUAUCAAAACAAUUCUUAACCACGUCUUUAUUCUUAAACCUUCGCCUCAUCGCCUGCGAUAUAAAAAGAAAUUAACAGGGAGAACGAAGACAAACGAAUGAGAAGAGGUUAGGGUUAGGGUUUCUAGGAAGGAUUUUAUACGCGUGAAAGGGACAAAGGACAUCCAAUUUCCUAUUAAUGAUUUGAUAUUUUGAUGUUCUCGUUUUCUUAGUUUCCUUCAUAGGGUGCUAUUUUUACUCAAAGGGACAACUUUCAUCUAUUUCUAACCACGCAAUGAUAGUGAUAUUAUAGGUGAAACGACAAGGUAGAGAAGAUGAAGAUUUUGUAUUAUCAAAAACUUGAAUACAAACAGGUUAUCCCUGUGUCUAAAUAGGCGUACAUUCCUUUACAAAUAUGGUGAGGAGAUUAUACGCAAUUAAUAUCUUUCCUAAAACAGAAGAUAAGUCCUAACUACCAUAUAUAUACAAAAUAUAUAUGCAAAUAUCUUAAUACUCCCCCUCAAGUUGGAGCAUGGAGAUUACGAAUGCCCAACUUGCGAAGAAGAAACUCAAACUGAGGACGUCCAAGCGCUUUGGUGAAGAUAUCUGCAAGUUGAGCUGUUGUGCGAAUAUGAGAAGUGAUAAUAGCACCCGAUUGAAUGUGAUCACGUACGUAGUGACUAAUAGACAAUAUAUUGUCAGAAUAUUUAGUUACCUUUCUGUUAUUUAGUUACCUUUCUGUUCUGGGAGAAUAUUGGAUUUGCAUUGACUUCUCCCAGAUUUCCUGUAAUAUACAAAACUCUACUUAUAUGAGUUUAUGGAAUAAGAAACAGGAGGAUUGAUUACCAAAA
This is a long non-coding RNA of Papaver somniferum (opium poppy), 913 nucleotides long. RefSeq lists it as uncharacterized. The transcript has 3 exons. The record is from RefSeq and is a predicted model, not a curated record. NCBI's taxonomy places the organism in Eukaryota, Viridiplantae, Streptophyta, Magnoliopsida, Ranunculales, Papaveraceae.